This 482-nucleotide ribosomal RNA is filed under the name uncultured bacterium. RNAcentral describes it as "partial 16S ribosomal RNA". It matches the Rfam family "Bacterial small subunit ribosomal RNA", at positions 30 to 507 of the family's 1533-position model. The record is from RNAcentral.
AUUGAACGCUGGCGGCAUGCCUUACACAUGCAAGUCGAACGGGAACGGGCCUUCGGGUGCCGACGAGUGGCGAACGGGUGAGUAAUACAUCGGAACGUGCCCGAUCGUGGGGGAUAACGAGGCGAAAGCUUUGCUAAUACCGCAUACGAUCUACGGAUGAAAGCAGGGGACCGCAAGGCCUUGCGCGGACGGAGCGGCCGAUGGCAGAUUAGGUAGUUGGUGGGAUAAAAGCUUACCAAGCCGACGAUCUGUAGCUGGUCUGAGAGGAUGAUCAGCCACACUGGGACUGAGACACGGCCCAGACUCCUACGGGAGGCAGCAGUGGGGAAUUUUGGACAAUGGGCGCAAGCCUGAUCCAGCCAUGCCGCGUGCAGGAUGAAGGCCUUCGGGUUGUAAACUGCUUUUGUACGGAACGAAAAGCCUUCUUUUAAUACAGGAGGGUCAUGACGGUACCGUAAGAAUAAGCACCGGCUAACUACGUG